Molecule: ribosomal RNA, 253 nt
Filed under: uncultured bacterium
Lineage: Bacteria
Description: partial 16S ribosomal RNA
Rfam family: Bacterial small subunit ribosomal RNA
Source: RNAcentral
GACAGAGGAUGCAAGCGUUAUCCGGAAUGAUUGGGCGUAAAGCGUCUGUAGGUGGCUUUUUAAGUCCGCCGUCAAAUCCCAGGGCUCAACCCUGGACAGGCGGUGGAAACUACCAAGCUGGAGUACGGUAGGGGCAGAGGGAAUUUCCGGUGGAGCGGUGAAAUGCGUAGAGAUCGGAAAGAACACCGAUGGCGAAGGCAGGUCUCUGGGCCACUACUGACGCUGAGAAGCGAAAGCGUGGGGAGCGAACAGG